AAGACAUUACGCCCCUGCUAAAAUCGGUUUCCUAUUGAACAUACUUCUUUCCGUAAGAAAUAGUAUAGUUUGAUUACAUUUUAGGGUAUCUGAGGAGUAAAUAGACAUGUAUUUUGACUUGUGAACCAAAGUUUAGGGGUAGAUUUUUGGAUUCCUUUCUCUGCAUGUUGAACGAGUGGAUUACUCAAAUUGAUGGCGCCAACUAAACAGACUUUUUGGAAUAUAAAGAACUAUUUUAUCUAACAAAAUGACACUACAUGUUAUAGCUGGCACCCUUUGGAUGACAAAUCAGAAGAACAUUUUCAAAAGCACAAAGACCAGAACAACCCACUCCAGCCUACAUACAACCAUCUGAUAGGAGCUGGCUACUGUACCGGAAUACUUCCAGCAAUUGUGCUAAGCUGACAAUAUGCUAACUUCACUAUCCAAACUGCAGACAGAGACAUAAAAAAUGGUAUCCAUGUUUCUGGCCCUAGGACCAUGCCUCAGGACUACCUGGCAUGAUGACUCCUUGAUAUCCCCAGUCCACCAGGCAGUGCUGCUGCUCCAGUUUCAACUGUUCUGCCUGCGACUAUGGAACCCUGACCUGUUCACCGGACAUGCUACCUGUCCCAGACCUGCUGUUUUCAACUCUCUAGAGACAGCAGGAGCGGUAGAGAUACUCUCAAUGAUCGGCUAUGAAAAGCCAACUGACAUCUACUCCUGAGGUGCUGACCUGUUGCACCCUCGACAACUGCUGUGAUUAUUAUUAUUUGACCAUGCUGGUCAUUUAUGAACAUUUGAACAUCUUGGCCAUGUUCUGUUAUAAUCUCCACCCGGCACAGCCAGAAGAGGACUGGCCACCCCUCAUAGCCUGGUUCCUCUCUAGGUUUCAUCCUAGGUUUUGGCCUUUCUAGGGAGUUUUUCCUAGCCACCGUGCUUCUACACCUGCAUUGCUUGCUGUUUGGGGUUUUAGGCUGGGUUUCUGUACAGCACUUUGAGAUAUCAGCUGAUGUAAGAAGGGCUAUAUAAAUACAUUUGAUUUGAUUUGAAUACAAUACAUCACAUCACAUUUACAGGUCAUCAUACCAAAAGGACUGAGAAUAUAUACUGCUCAAAAAAAUAAAGGGAACACUUAAACAACACAUCCUAGAUCUGAAUGAAAGAAAUAAUCUUACUAAAUACUUUUUUCUUUACAUAGUUGAAUGUGCUGACAACAAAAUCACACAAAAAUAAUCAAUGGAAAUCCAAUUUAUCAACCCAUGGAGGUCUGGAUUUGGAGUCACACUCAAAAUUAAAGUGGAAAACCACACUACAGGCUGAUCCAACUUUGAUGUAAUGUCCUUAAAACAAGUCAAAAUGAGUCUCAGUAGUGUGUGUGGCCUCCACGUGCCUGUAUGACCUCCCUAC
This 1389-nucleotide long non-coding RNA is filed under the name Salmo salar (Atlantic salmon). RNAcentral describes it as "lncRNA (ENSSSAG00000109331.1)". Lineage: Eukaryota; Metazoa; Chordata; Actinopteri; Salmoniformes; Salmonidae. The record is from RNAcentral.